RNAcentral lists this ribosomal RNA (532 nucleotides) under uncultured archaeon. RNAcentral describes it as "bacterial SSU rRNA". It matches the Rfam family "Archaeal small subunit ribosomal RNA", at positions 327 to 859 of the family's 1478-position model. The record is from RNAcentral.
GGGGUGCAGCAGGCGCGAAACCUCCGCAAUGUGAGAAAUCGCGACGGGGGGAUCCCAAGUGCCAUUCUUAACGGGAUGGCUUUUCAUUAGUGUAAAGAGCUUUUGGAAUAAGAGCUGGGCAAGACCGGUGCCAGCCGCCGCGGUAACACCGGCAGCUCUAGUGGUAACAAUUUUUAUUGGGCCUAAAGCGUCCGUAGCCGGUUUAAUAAGUCUCUGGUGAAAUCCUGUAGCUUAACUGUGGGAAUUGCUGGAGAUACUAUUAGACUUGAGACCGGGAGAGGUUAGAGGUACUCCCAGGGUAGAGGUGAAAUUCUGUAAUCCUGGGAGGACCGCCUGUUGCGAAGGCGUCUAACUGGAACGGUUCUGACGGUGAGGGACGAAAGUUAGGGGCGCGAACCGGAUUAGAUACCCGGGUAGUCCUAACUGUAAACGAUGCGGACUUGGUGUUGGGGUGGCUUUGAGCUGCUCCAGUGCCGAAGGGAAGCUGUUAAGUCCGCCGCCUGGGAAGUACGGUCGCAAGACUGAAACUUAA